GACGAACGCUGGCGGCGUGCUUAACACAUGCAAGUCGAACGGACAGGCCCUGAUUUUGUGGGGUGCUCGAGUGGCGCACGGGUGAGUAACACGUGAGUAACCUGCCCUUGACUUUGGGAUAACUUCAGGAAACUGGGGCUAAUACCGGAUAGGAGCUACUGCUGCAUGGGGGGGGUUGGAGAGAUUCGGCGGUUGGGGCUGGACUCGCGGCUUAUCAGCUGGUUGGUGGGGUAGUGGCUUACCAAGGCUUUGACGGGUAGCCGGCCUGGGAGGGUGACCGGGCACAUUGCGACUGAGAUACGGCGCAGACGCCUACGGGAGGCAGUAGGGGGGAACAUUGCACAAUGGGCGGAAGUCUGAUGCAGCAACGCCGCGUGCGGGAUGACGGCCUUCGGGUUGUAAACCGCUGUGGCCUGUGACGAAGCCUGCGUGACGGUAAUGGGUAAAGAAGCAACGGCUAACUACGUG
RNAcentral lists this ribosomal RNA (468 nucleotides) under uncultured bacterium. RNAcentral describes it as "partial 16S ribosomal RNA". It matches the Rfam family "Bacterial small subunit ribosomal RNA", at positions 28 to 507 of the family's 1533-position model. The record is from RNAcentral.